UACGUAGGGUGCAAGCGUUAUCCGGAAUUAUUGGGCGUAAAGAGCUCGUAGGCGGUUUGUCGCGUCUGCUGUGAAAACUCGGGGCUUAACCCUGGGCCUGCAGUGGGUACGGGCAGACUAGAGUGCGGUAGGGGAGACUGGAAUUCCUGGUGUAGCGGUGAAAUGCGCAGAUAUCAGGAGGAACACCGGUGGCGAAGGCGGGUCUCUGGGCCGUAACUGACACUCAGGGACGAAAGCUAGGGGAGCGAAUGGG
This 253-nucleotide ribosomal RNA is filed under the name uncultured bacterium. RNAcentral describes it as "partial 16S ribosomal RNA". It matches the Rfam family "Bacterial small subunit ribosomal RNA", at positions 524 to 776 of the family's 1533-position model. The record is from RNAcentral.